RNAcentral lists this transfer RNA (74 nucleotides) under Cryptosporangium arvum DSM 44712. It matches the Rfam family "tRNA". From Rfam's summary of the family: Transfer RNA (tRNA) molecules are approximately 80 nucleotides in length. Their secondary structure includes four short double-helical elements and three loops (D, anti-codon, and T loops). Further hydrogen bonds mediate the characteristic L-shaped molecular structure. tRNAs have two regions of fundamental functional importance: the anti-codon, which is responsible for specific mRNA codon recognition, and the 3' end, to which the tRNAs corresponding amino acid is attached (by aminoacyl-tRNA synthetases). tRNAs cope with the degeneracy of the genetic code in two manners: having more than one tRNA (with a specific anti-codon) for a particular amino acid; and 'wobble' base-pairing, i.e. permitting non-standard base-pairing at the 3rd anti-codon position. The record is from Rfam by way of RNAcentral. Lineage: Bacteria; Bacillati; Actinomycetota; Actinomycetes; Cryptosporangiales; Cryptosporangiaceae.
GCCCCCGUAGCUCAGCGGACCAGAGCACCAGGUUCCGAACCUGGGGGUCGGCGGUUCGAUCCCGCCCGGGGGUA